This 319-nucleotide ribosomal RNA is filed under the name uncultured eukaryote. Its description in RNAcentral is "partial 18S ribosomal RNA". It matches the Rfam family "Eukaryotic small subunit ribosomal RNA", at positions 1470 to 1796 of the family's 1831-position model. The record is from RNAcentral.
CCCUUAGAUGUUCUGGGCUGCACGCGUGCUACAAUGGCGUUUCCAGCAAGUCUGCGAACCCGAGAGGGCCAGCGGAUCUUCGAAUUGGCGUCGUGAUCGGGACAGUCGAUUGCACUUAUUUGACUCAAACGAGGAAUUCCUUGUAAUCGCGAUUCAUCAUAUCGCGCUGAAUACGUCCCUGCCCUUUGUACACACCGCCCGUCGCUCCUACCGAUUGAGCGAUCCGGUAAAUGUUUUGGAUUGGUGCCGGGGCGGCUAGCUGCCGGUCGCUACGAAAUUUUGUGAACCUUAUCGCUUAGAGGAAGGAAAAGUCGUAACA